GAUGAACGCUGGCGGCGUGCCUAAUACAUGCAAGUCGAGCGAACAGACGAGGAGCUUGCUCCUUUGACGUUAGCGGCGGACGGGUGAGUAACACGUGGGUAACCUACCUAUAAGACUGGGAUAACUUCGGGAAACCGGAGCUAAUACCGGAUAAUAUUUCGAACCGCAUGGUUCGAUAGUGAAAGAUGGCUCUGCUAUCACUUAUAGAUGGACCUGCGCCGUAUUAGCUAGUUGGUAAGGUAACGGCUUACCAAGGCAACGAUACGUAGCCGACCUGAGAGGGUGAUCGGCCACACUGGAACUGAGACACGGUCCAGACUCCUACGGGAGGCAGCAGUAGGGAAUCUUCCGCAAUGGGCGAAAGCCUGACGGAGCAACGCCGCGUGAGUGAUGAAGGUCUUCGGAUCGGAAAGCUCUGUUAUUAGGGAAGAACAAACGUGUAAGUAACUGUGCACGGCGUGACGGUACCUAAUCAGAAAGCCACGGCUAACUACGUG
RNAcentral lists this ribosomal RNA (497 nucleotides) under uncultured bacterium. RNAcentral describes it as "partial 16S ribosomal RNA". It matches the Rfam family "Bacterial small subunit ribosomal RNA", at positions 28 to 507 of the family's 1533-position model. The record is from RNAcentral.